UCAUCUUCUUUGGCUGACAAUUACACCGACUGCGGCAAAACCUUUGGCGGUGGAAGUAAUAUUGGGAGUAUAAGCUAUCCAUUCUUGGGUUGACCAUCCAGAUAGCAAGUUGAACUGCACAGACGACAACGUAGCUUAUAUCGAAAUCUCUUCGCAGGAUACAGAGUGCUGGAAAUCAAUGAGGGAACACGUACUGUGAAAGCUGUUAGAGCGGGUUAAUUGGGAGAUGUUUGUCAAAAAGAGCUCCGUAACGUCACCUCAUUAGAUACCACCUUGUUGAAUUACACUUCAGAUACCCAACAACUGACUCUGCCAGUAUUCCACGCCAUUUCAAUUGCAGCGUAUCCGGAGGAUCAAAUACUGAUAAUUUCUACCCAGCAGGAGAAAUGAGUACAGCAGGCAACUUACCUGGCUUCACCAGUAAAGCCCCACACUUGGAACGUAUGUGCAAUGUCAGUGUGGGACUCCAUAUUUCUCAAAGCGAUGCCACCGAUUUACAAGCCAGUAUGACAAAGUCAAAUGAGAAUCUGAUAAAGACGGUGGAUGCUGGGUUUGGGUUGAUAUGGAAUGACAAUCUGACAAUCGUUGUGAUGAUUAAUGUCAAAGCGGUAGCCGCUGUGGCUACGACGUGAGUUCUGAUGAAUUCGUCUGCUUUACAAACACAGGCAUUUCAGAAGCUGUGGUGGACUUUUGAUACUUUUUGCUAUAAUUCUAUGAAUCUGUGAGAGAGAAUGGUCUUUUGGAAGAAAGAUAGUAGAGAGGAUAUUUAUGUGGUGGCAUUUACGAGGAAUUACACUUCACUUGCACCAAAGCAAUAUAGUUAUUCACAGGUCGAGAAAAUGGCAAACUUAUUGGCAGAGUAAUAGGGAAAGGAGGAUAUGGUUGUGUAUACAAAGGAACACUACCUGAUGGUUGCCUUGUUGCUGUGAAACUAGUAAAAGAUUCCAAAAGCAAUGGAGAAGAUUUUAUAAAUGAAAUUGCUAGUAUGGGUAAAAUUUCUCAUAUUUCAUACCCAAUGGUUCACUUGA
Molecule: long non-coding RNA, 1028 nt
Organism: Ziziphus jujuba (common jujube)
Lineage: Eukaryota; Viridiplantae; Streptophyta; Magnoliopsida; Rosales; Rhamnaceae
Exons: 2
Source: RefSeq, a predicted model, not a curated record